CAAUGGGGGGACCCUGNAUGCAGCGACGCCGCGCUGAGUGAAGAAGUAUUUCGGUAUGUAAAGCUCUAUCAGCAGGGNAAGAAAAUGACGGUACCUGNACUAAGAAGCCCCGGCUAACUACGUGCCAGCAGCCGCGGUAAUACGUAGGGGGCAAGCGUUAUCCGGAUUUACUGGGUGUAAAGGGAGCGUAGACGGUAAAGCAAGUCUGAAGUGAAAGCCCGGGGCUCAACCCCGGGACUGCUUUGGAAACUGUCUGGCUCGAGUGCCGGAGAGGUAAGCGGAAUUCCUAGUGUAGCGGUGAAAUGCGUAGAUAUUAGGAGGAACACCAGUGGCGAAGGCGGCUUACUGGACGGCAACUGACGUUGAGGCUCGAAAGCGUGGGGAGCAAACAGGAUUAGAUACCCUGGUAGUCCAAGGGCGAAUUC
Molecule: ribosomal RNA, 425 nt
Filed under: uncultured bacterium
Lineage: Bacteria
Description: SSU rRNA
Rfam family: Bacterial small subunit ribosomal RNA
Source: RNAcentral